This 905-nucleotide ribosomal RNA is filed under the name uncultured bacterium. RNAcentral describes it as "bacterial SSU rRNA". It matches the Rfam family "Bacterial small subunit ribosomal RNA", at positions 22 to 917 of the family's 1533-position model. The record is from RNAcentral. RNAcentral also lists the same sequence under 1 other name.
GCUCAGGAUGAACGCUAGCUACAGGCUUAACACAUGCAAGUCGAGGGGAAACGAUAUUGGAAGCUUGCUUCCGAUAGGCGUCGACCGGCGCACGGGUGAGUAACGCGUAUCCAACCUGCCCAUCACUUGGGAAUAACCUUGCGAAAGUAAGACUAAUGCCCAAUGAUAUUUAUAGAAGGCAUCUGAAAUGAAUUAAAGGUUUAUCGGUGAUGGAUGGGGAUGCGUCUGAUCAGCUUGUUGGCGGGGUAACGGCCCACCAAGGCGACGAUCAGUAGGGGUUCUGAGAGGAAGGUCCCCCACAUUGGAACUGAGACGCGGUCCAAACUCCUACGGGAGGCAGCAGUGAGGAAUAUUGGUCAAUGGGCGAGAGCCUGAACCAGCCAAGUAGCGUGCAGGAUGACGGCCCUAUGGGUUGUAAACUGCUUUUAUAGGGGAAUAAAGUGAGCCACGUGUGGUUUUUUGCAUGUACCCUAUGAAUAAGGACCGGCUAAUUCCGUGCCAGCAGCCGCGGUAAUACGGAAGGUCCGGGCGUUAUCCGGAUUUAUUGGGUUUAAAGGGAGCGUAGGCCGGAGAUUAAGCGUGUUGUGAAAUGUAGAUGCUCAACAUCUGAACUGCAGCGCGAACUGGUUUCCUUGAGUACGCAUAAAGUGGGCGGAAUUCGUGGUGUAGCGGUGAAAUGCUUAGAUAUCACGAAGAACUCCGAUUGCGAAGGCAGCUCACUGGGGCGCAACUGACGCUGAAGCUCGAAAGCGCGGGUAUCGAACAGGAUUAGAUACCCUGGUAGUCCGCGCGGUAAACGAUGGAUGCCCGCUGUUGGGUCAACUGGUUCAGCGGCCAAGCGAAAGCAUUAAGCAUCCCACCUGGGGAGUACGCCGGCAACGGUGCAACUCAAAGGAAUUGACGGA